This 785-nucleotide ribosomal RNA is filed under the name uncultured Glomus. RNAcentral's name for it is "SSU rRNA". It matches the Rfam family "Eukaryotic small subunit ribosomal RNA", at positions 325 to 1111 of the family's 1831-position model. Lineage: Eukaryota; Fungi; Glomeromycota; Glomeromycetes; Glomerales; Glomeraceae. The record is from RNAcentral.
AUGGUAGGAUAGAGGCCUACCAUGGUGGUAACGGGUAACGGGGUGUUAGGGCACGACACCGGAGAGGGAGCCUGAGAAACGGCUACCACAUCCAAGGAAGGCAGCAGGCGCGCAAAUUACCCAAUCCCGACACGGGGAGGUAGUGACAAUAAAUAACAAUACGGGGUUCUUUGAAUCUUGUAAUUGGAAUGAGUACAAUUUAAAUCUCUUAACGAGGAACAAUUGGAGGGCAAGUCUGGUGCCAGCAGCCGCGGUAAUUCCAGCUCCAAUAGCGUAUAUUAAAGUUGUUGCAGUUAAAAAGCUCGUAGUUGAAUUUCGGGAUCAAUACGUCGGUCGUGCUUUCGGGUACGUACUGGCGUCAUUGGUUUCUCCUUUCUGACGAACCAUGAUGUCAUUAAUUUGGUGUUAUGGGGAGUUAGGACUGUUACUUUGAAAAAAUUAGAGUGUUUAAGGCAGGCAUUAGCUUGAAUACAUUAGCAUGGAAUAAUGAAAUAGGACGUUCGAUCCUAUUUUGUUGGUUUCUAGGAUCAACGUAAUGAUUAAUAGGGAUAGUUGGGGGCAUUAGUAUUCAAUUGUCAGAGGUGAAAUUCUUGGACUUAUUGAAGACUAACUACUGCGAAAGCAUUUGCCAAGGAUGUUUUCAUUAAUCAAGAACGAAAGUUAGGGGAUCGAAGACGAUCAGAUACCGUCGUAGUCUUAACCAUAAACUAUGCCGACUAGGGAUCGGAUGAUGUUAAUUUUUUAAUGACUCAUUCGGCGCCUUACGGGAAACCAAAGUGUUUGGG